This 332-nucleotide unclassified non-coding RNA is filed under the name soil metagenome. RNAcentral describes it as "partial contains 5.8S ribosomal RNA, internal transcribed spacer 2, and large subunit ribosomal RNA". The stretch from base 1 to 120 matches the Rfam family "5.8S ribosomal RNA", at positions 35 to 154 of the family's 154-position model. The record is from RNAcentral.
GAUGAAGAACGCAGCGAAAUGCGAUAAGUAAUGUGAAUUGCAGAAUUCAGUGAAUCAUCGAAUCUUUGAACGCACAUUGCGCCCGCCAGUAUUCUGGCGGGCAUGUCUGUCCGAGCGUCAUUUCAACCAUCAAGCCCCGGGCUUGUGUUGGGGACCUGCGUCCGACGCAGGCCCUGAAAACCAGUGGCGGGCUCGCUGUCCACACCGAGCGUAGUAACUAACCUCGCUAUGGAGUGGCGCGGGCGCCUGCCGUAAAACCCCCAAUUUCACAAGGUUGACCUCGGAUCAGGUAGGAAUACCCGCUGAACUUAAGCAUAUCAAUAAGCGGAGGA